This 473-nucleotide ribosomal RNA is filed under the name uncultured bacterium. RNAcentral describes it as "bacterial SSU rRNA". It matches the Rfam family "Bacterial small subunit ribosomal RNA", at positions 33 to 507 of the family's 1533-position model. The record is from RNAcentral.
ACGACGCUGGCGGCGUGCCUAACACAUGCAAGUCGAGCGGGGUUGAGGCGAGAGGUAACUCGAGCUUCUACCUAGCGGCGGACGGGUGAGUAACGCGUGGGCAACCUGCCUCAAGGUUUGGGAUAACAGCCCGAAAGGGCUGCUAAUACCGGAUAUGCCUAUGGCCUCGCAUGGGGCUAUGAGCAAAGGGGAAACCCGCCUUGAGAUGGGCCCGCGUCCCAUCAGCUAGUUGGUGAGGUAACAGCUCACCAAGGCGACGACGGGUAGCCGGCCUGAGAGGGUGACCGGCCACACUGGGACUGAGACACGGCCCAGACUCCUACGGGGGGCAGCAGUGGGGGAUCUUGCACAAUGGGCGAAAGCCUGAUGCAGCGACGCCGCGUGAGCGAAGAAGGCCUUCGGGUUGUAAAGCUCUGUCUGGAGGGACGAACAAAAUGACGGUACCUCCGGAGGAAGCCACGGCUAACUACGUG